Molecule: long non-coding RNA, 478 nt
Organism: Ochotona princeps (American pika)
Lineage: Eukaryota; Metazoa; Chordata; Mammalia; Lagomorpha; Ochotonidae
Exons: 5
Source: RefSeq, a predicted model, not a curated record
GCAGUCUUAGUUCUGCUGCUGCCUAGUUAAGAUACCCUGGAGUCAAAUCACUUCAUCUGGGCUUCAUUUUCCUUAAAAGGGACAACAUGGGAUAUUACUGCUUACACAAUAGCACCUGCAAGAGGUAAUCUAUGAUGGCCCUGACCAAUGGGAUGCAGCAAAAACAAAGCAGGGCCAGCAUCAGGUCUGGCUGUUUCUGCUUUCUGCCACAUGAUGUGUGCCUUAAAAAGCCAUCCUGAGCAGUUGACCACUUUGCUCAAUUCCAGAAAGUUUCCAAGUGUCCUUGCUCCCUGAACUGGAAAAUCGCAAUGACCCAAGGGAAGAAAGUUGCUGAUAGUUAAAGACAAUCUUUUGGGAGGCCUUCCUCUUCUCCUGUUGGCUGGACUGAAGAUAAACGUGGACAGAUCAUCAGGAAAUAAAUAAGAAAGAUCUCGUUCUGUAAUUUUAUAUGUCAAAACAGAUGAUACCUUAAUAACAA